CAGUAGCCGCGGGAAUACGUAGGUGGCAAGCGUUGUCCGGAAUUAUUGGGCGUAAAGGGCUCGCAGGCGGUUUCUUAAGUCUGAUGUGAAAGCCCCCGGCUCAACCGGGGAGGGUCAUUGGGAACUGGGAAACUUGAGUGCAGAAGAGGAGAGCGGAAUUCCACGUGUAGCGGUGAAAUGCGUAGAGAUGUGGAGGAACACCAGUGGCGAAGGCGACUCUCUGGUCUGUAACUGACGCUGAGGAGCGAAAGCGUGGGGAGCGAACAGGAUUAGAUACCCCUGUAGUCCCUGUCUCUUAUAC
This 301-nucleotide ribosomal RNA is filed under the name uncultured bacterium. RNAcentral's name for it is "partial 16S ribosomal RNA". It matches the Rfam family "Bacterial small subunit ribosomal RNA", at positions 509 to 807 of the family's 1533-position model. The record is from RNAcentral.